CUCCUACGGGAGGCAGCAGUGAGGAAUAUUGGUCAAUGGGCGAGAGCCUGAACCAGCCAAGUAGCGUGAAGGAUGACUGCCCUAUGGGUUGUAAACUUCUUUUAUAAAGGAAUAAAGUCGGGUAUGCAUACCCGUUUGCAUGUACUUUAUGAAUAAGGAUCGGCUAACUCCGUGCCAGCAGCCGCGGUAAUACGGAGGAUCCGAGCGUUAUCCGGAUUUAUUGGGUUUAAAGGGAGCGUAGAUGGAUGUUUAAGUCAGCGGUGAAAGUCUGUGGCUCAACCAUAGAAUUGCCGUUGAAACUGGGGGGCUUGAGUAUGUUUGAGGCAGGCGGAAUGCGUGGUGUAGCGGUGAAAUGCUUAGAUAUCACGCAGAACCCCGAUUGCGAAGGCAGCCUGCCAAGCCAUGACUGACGCUGAUGCACGAAAGCGUGGGGAUCAAACAGGAUUAGAUACCCUGGUAGUCCACGCAGUAAACGAUGAUCACUAGCUGUUUGCGAUACAGUGUAAGCGGCACAGCGAAAGCGUUAAGUGAUCCACCUGGGGAGUACGCCGGCAACGGUGAAACUCAAAGGAAUUGACGGGGGCCCGCACAAGCGGAGGAACAUGUGGUUUAAUUCGAUGAUACGCGAGGAACCUUACCCGGGUUUGAACGCAUUUCGACCGCUCUGGAAACAGAGCCUCUAGCAAUAGCGAUUUGCGAGGUGCUGCAUGGUUGUCGUCAGCUCGUGCCGUGAGGUGUCGGCUUAAGUGCCAUAACGAGCGCAACCCUUGCCACUAGUUACUAACAGGUAAAGCUGAGGACUCUGGUGGGACUGCCAGCGUAAGCUGCGAGGAAGGCGGGGAUGACGUCAAAUCAGCACGGCCCUUACAUCCGGGGCGACACACGUGUUACAAUGGCGUGGACAAAGGGAUGCCACCUGGCGACAGGGAGCGAAUCCCCAAACCACGUCUCAGUUCGGAUCGGAGUCUGCAACCCGACUCCGUGAAGCUGGAUUCGCUAGUAAUCGCGCAUCAGCCAUGGCGCGGUGAAUACGUUCCCGGGCCUUGUACACACCGC
This 1056-nucleotide ribosomal RNA is filed under the name uncultured bacterium. Its description in RNAcentral is "bacterial SSU rRNA". It matches the Rfam family "Bacterial small subunit ribosomal RNA", at positions 336 to 1393 of the family's 1533-position model. The record is from RNAcentral.